Molecule: long non-coding RNA, 248 nt
Filed under: Mytilus galloprovincialis (Mediterranean mussel)
Lineage: Eukaryota; Metazoa; Mollusca; Bivalvia; Mytilida; Mytilidae
Source: RNAcentral
UAUCCGAUAUAUUUAACAAAUGUAUUCCAAAACUUGCUGAAAAACUGUCAUUUCUAGUGCAGUGGCCAGAUAAAGACAAUCUCAUAAAGAACAUGCCCAUAGUAUUUAAACUUUCAUAUCCAAGGUGCAUCAGCAUCAUAGACUGUUUCAAAGUAUUCUUCCAAAGACCAGCAAAUUUAACUGCAAGGGCACAAACCUGGUCGAAUUAUAAACAUCACAACACCAUCAAGUUUGUAGUGUCCAUAACA